CUUUUAAUUGAAGGCUGGUAUGAAUGGUUGGACGAGGUAUUAGCUGUUUCAAGUAAAUUUAUUAUAGAAUUUUAUUUUUUAGUCAAAAAGCUAAAAUUUAGUUAAAAGACGAGAAGACCCUAUAAAUCUUUAUUUUAUUAGUUAUUUUAAUUAUAAAGAUAAAUUUUAUUAUAAUAAUUAAUAAAAUUUUAUUGGGGUGAUAUUAAAAUUUAUAGAACUUUUAAUUUUUAUUGAACAUUAAUUAAUGAGUAAUUGAUCCGUUAUUAACGAUUAAAAAUUUAAGUUACUUUAGGGAUAACAGCGUAAUUUUUUUGGAGAGUUCUUAUCGAUAAAAAAGAUUGCGACCUCGAUGUUGGAUUAAGAAAAAUUUUAGGUGUAGCCGCU
This 384-nucleotide ribosomal RNA is filed under the name Perochaeta lobo. Its description in RNAcentral is "partial 16S ribosomal RNA". Lineage: Eukaryota; Metazoa; Arthropoda; Insecta; Diptera; Sepsidae. The record is from RNAcentral.